GCCACGAUAAAGCCAACCACCAAUGUAGAAGCCCUAGAGAAUGCUUAGUUGGUCUAGGAACUCCUUGCUAGCCUCUACUGGCAUAUCCAGAAUGUGAGAGCCCAGCUUUAACAAAAGAGAAAGCAGAUUGAAUAGGGUCAUGCUAACAAACGGCCCAGGAUAACUCCUACUAUGGUUAUUGCACCACCUCCACCUCCAAAGAAUCCCUCCCAACUUGCUCAAGUUUGCCCCUGCUGCAGUAAAAACCAUGGCAACUGCUCCUGUUACAAGCUAGAAAAUGCUUGUUACAAGUGCAGA
This 297-nucleotide long non-coding RNA is filed under the name Carica papaya (papaya). RNAcentral describes it as "long non-coding RNA (CPAP_LNC003318)". The record is from RNAcentral. Lineage: Eukaryota; Viridiplantae; Streptophyta; Magnoliopsida; Brassicales; Caricaceae.